RNAcentral lists this transfer RNA (77 nucleotides) under Oscillospiraceae bacterium. Its description in RNAcentral is "tRNA-Asp". It matches the Rfam family "tRNA". Rfam says of the family: Transfer RNA (tRNA) molecules are approximately 80 nucleotides in length. Their secondary structure includes four short double-helical elements and three loops (D, anti-codon, and T loops). Further hydrogen bonds mediate the characteristic L-shaped molecular structure. tRNAs have two regions of fundamental functional importance: the anti-codon, which is responsible for specific mRNA codon recognition, and the 3' end, to which the tRNAs corresponding amino acid is attached (by aminoacyl-tRNA synthetases). tRNAs cope with the degeneracy of the genetic code in two manners: having more than one tRNA (with a specific anti-codon) for a particular amino acid; and 'wobble' base-pairing, i.e. permitting non-standard base-pairing at the 3rd anti-codon position. The record is from RNAcentral. Lineage: Bacteria; Bacillati; Bacillota; Clostridia; Eubacteriales; Oscillospiraceae.
GGCCUCGUGGUGCAGUCGGUUAGCACGCCAGCCUGUCACGCUGGAGGUCGACGGUUCGAGUCCGGUCCGGGUCGCCA